RNAcentral lists this ribosomal RNA (657 nucleotides) under Vibrio vulnificus. RNAcentral describes it as "partial 23S ribosomal RNA". It matches the Rfam family "Bacterial large subunit ribosomal RNA", at positions 1 to 711 of the family's 2925-position model. Lineage: Bacteria; Pseudomonadati; Pseudomonadota; Gammaproteobacteria; Vibrionales; Vibrionaceae. The record is from RNAcentral.
GGUUAAGUGACUAAGCGUACACGGUGGAUGCCUUGGCAGUCAGAGGCGAUGAAGGACGUAGUAACUUGCGAUAAGCGUAGAUGAGGCAGUAACAGCCACUUGAGUCUACGAUUUCCGAAUGGGGAAACCCACUGGCAUAAGCCAGUAUCAUUGAGUGAAUACAUAGCUCAAUGAAGCGAACCGGGAGAACUGAAACAUCUAAGUACCCCGAGGAAAAGAAAUCAACCGAGAUUCCGAAAGUAGCGGCGAGCGAAAUUGGAUUAGCCCUUAAGCUUUACAUGUGUUAGACGAACGGUCUGGAAAGUCCGACGAUACAGGGUGAUAGUCCCGUAGUUGACGAUGCAUGUUCAGUGAAAUCGAGUAGGGCGGGACACGUGUUAUCCUGUCUGAAUAUGGGGGGACCAUCCUCCAAGGCUAAAUACUCCUGACUGACCGAUAGUGAACCAGUACCGUGAGGGAAAGGCGAAAAGAACCCCUGUGAGGGGAGUGAAAUAGAACCUGAAACCGUGUACGUACAAGCAGUAGGAGCACCUUCGUGGUGUGACUGCGUACCUUUUGUAUAAUGGGUCAGCGACUUAUAUUCAGUGGCAAGGUUAACCAUCUAGGGGAGCCGUAGGGAAACCGAGUCUUAACUGGGCGCCAUAGUCUCUGGAUAUA